CGAAAUGAGAGGUUGUUGUUGCGUGGGCUGGCAACUUGAAAUCUUAUUUCCCAGCUCCUGGAUUUUCUGGCUGUAGCCCUUACCUUCUUAGCGCUGCGUUACUUCUCCUUAAUCCCCUACUCUUACAGAAUGGAGGCUUUCAUACCUGUUCGUGCAAAACUUCUAUCAACAAUUUCCCCCAAUGGUGAUAUUUCUACAGUUGAGCAUUUGGCUUUUUAUUCCUGAGGCCUGGGCAAGAUGUUCAAGCGAGUUCUGUGGUGACUGCAGAGACUUGAGCAAAGGCAUUACCUUAAGGAAAGAUGCCUCGGCUUCAGAAGAGGUGCUGGACAUCCCUAGGCUUGGCAAGGUUUUUGGACCUCAGAAAAAGCUCACUUGGGGUGCUGCAUUUGCUCAGCAAGACAGACCUCACAGGGCUUAACAGCCAGCAGAACCUCAUGAUUGAGGUCUGACAAGCAAAGGCUGGCUUCUGGGGGUCUAGCAAGCGAAAGGCAUGGAGCCCUCAAGGCUACCCUCGGCAAAGGCUGGAUUACUUGUGAUCCUGCAAGCGAAGAACUGUCCCUUUAGUUGAUACACGUGGCUUCAGCAUGCAUGUUUUCAUUGCUUGCUUCACAAGUUCAGCAUUUCCUAAGCAGGCAUAGACAAAGCAUAGGUUCCCUUUCAGGCAGAGAACACCUUGCGUCUGUAACAUCUUUUAGAAACUGAUUUAGGGAAGGCUUGCUGCUUUGAUAUCAUGUGGCAGCUGAAUUUCGUGUGUCCCUCACAACACUCGAGAGGUUCCAGCUUUAAAUUGUUAAUGCCAAGCCUGCAUGAGGAGAGCGAGAUUAGCAGCCUCAAAGCUUUCUUAUAUUCCAGGUCAAGAAGGAAACCACAAAUGGGAGUGUACCCUGAGUCUUCUCACUGGUGCAAAGAACCAGAGGAACUCAAGUUGCUUGUGAAUUGGUUAAGUUCAUAGAAGAAAGAAACCUCCCCAGGAGGCAGAUUUCUUAAGCGUAAACAGUUCCAUAAGAGGCAACAGAAGAAACAGCCACUGUGGUGCACGACUGAAAACACCCACUCACUAGGGGGUGUAAAUGCCAGGUUCCUAGCUACAGCCCAAACGGAAUAUAGAACUGGGUGUCAGACUCCAGGAACUACCAGAGGAAAUAGAAAUUAAAAGUUUGUGCAAAAUGGUAAUGUAGGAGGGCCAAAAUCAACCUGAUGAUGGUCAGUUUCUUCCAAUUAAAUUUAAUUCCACGGGUCAAUUUUUUCAUUACUUAAGCAGAGAAGAGUGGUGCCUGUAUG
This 1281-nucleotide long non-coding RNA is filed under the name Equus asinus (donkey). RNAcentral describes it as "lncRNA (ENSEASG00005036011.1)". The record is from RNAcentral. Lineage: Eukaryota; Metazoa; Chordata; Mammalia; Perissodactyla; Equidae.